Molecule: long non-coding RNA, 1347 nt
Filed under: Mus spicilegus (steppe mouse)
Lineage: Eukaryota; Metazoa; Chordata; Mammalia; Rodentia; Muridae
Description: lncRNA (ENSMSIG00000011632.1)
Source: RNAcentral
AUGCAGAGCGCCAUCUGGUGGUCAGUAAUCAAGAGCCAUGAGCAUAUGUGUUACAAAGGUUCUCCAUCGGUCUCCACUGCAGUCCUCGCAGAGAGAUUAAGUCUCCUGCCUGAAAUCAUGCAGCCAAGUAUGAAAGGUAUGAUGAUUUUCAUAUAUAAACCCAGGUCCCGGGGAAAGAAAGGAAAAAAAUGGGAAAAAAGGGAAAGAAUGGGGGGGGACCCUGCAGAAUGAGUAAUUUGCAUAUAUAUAAUUUGCAUAUCUCUAAUUGCAGUGUUCCAGCAAGAACAUAUUGUGAAACACUUGGAAGGUAGAGGCAGGAGGAUCUCUGUGAGUUCCAGGCCAGCCAGAGAUACACAGUGAGACCCUAUGUCAAAAACAAGCAAAAAGAACCGUGUGGCAGUUAAAAGCAUCUGCUGUUUUUCCAGAGGACCCAAGUUCUAUUCCCAGAACCCACAUCAGGCAUCUUAUCUGCCUGUAACUCCAGCUCGAGGGCAUCCAAUGUCCUCUCUGGGCCUCCCUUGGCAUCAGAGCACACAUGGAACAUACAUACAGUAACGUACACACAGAUUUAAAACAAAAUUUUAAUACUGUAUUUAUUUGUUUUUUAAUUUAUUUCUGUGUGAAGCAGAAGUGGACAUGUGCUGCAUACCCAUACUACAGUGAGGCCCAGCUCACUGUAGCAGUGCCAUGCCAGGCUGGUGAUCCUGCAUUCUGUAAGAAAGCAGGCUAAUGGUCACAGUGUUUUAUUGCAGCAAUAGAAACUCUAACUAAUUAAAUCUGCCAGUGGUGGUGCAUGCCUUUAAUCCCAGCAUUCAGGAGGCAGAGGCAGGGGGAUCUCUGAAUUUGAGGCCAGCCUGGUCUACAGAGUGAGUUUCAGGAAGGCUAUUUUAAAGCUGGAGUUGCAAGUACUUGUGAACUCUCCAAUGUGGGUGCUGGGAACAGAACUUGGGUCCUACAAAAAAACCAAGCAGUAUCUAUGCGUAAGCACUGAGCCAUCUCUUCAGCCUCCUUAAAACUUGCUUUUGUUUUGUUUUCCGAGACAAGGUAUCACUGAGUAAUCUGGGCUGGCCUCUAACUCAAAGAUCCACCUGGCUUUGCAUCCUGAGUGCCAGGACUAAAGGUGGGCACCACCAUGCCCAGAAUAUUUGAAAACUACAACUCAACAAUAAGAAGACAGCCUGAUUUUAAAAUGGGUAAAAGGCCAAGAAGUGGUGGUGUAUAUCUUUAAUCCCAGCACUCUGAGUUUGAGGCCAGCCUGGUCUAUACAUUGGGGACAGCAGGGCUACACAGAGAAACCCUGUCUCAAAAAUCCAAAUAGUAACAAUAAAAUAAUCGAGGGCUGGCUCA